UGUGUCAAAUACAUCUCAAAGUCACGAGAGAGGGUAGGAAAUAUAUAACGUAGGAAACCCGUGUGGUUUUGUUAUAUCUAAGGUUUGAACGCGCCCGGUGUAUGGAAGACGGGUGGAGCGCUUUUAUCAAGAAACUCAAGUUUGUCAAUGCAGCUGUCAUGUCAAAGCUCCGUCUCCGGUGCUUACAAGUGCUGCGAAAGCAUCAAAUGCAGCCUGGGUGCCAGGGGUGAAAGACGCUAGCUUCCCGGGCCGCUACAAGAGCCUCCUCUAAGAUCUCUUGUGGAGGGCUCAGUCUGUGUGCUGUAAUACAUGGAAGACUACUUUGACACAGAUAAAGGUAACGUGUUGAGGGUGUGAUAUUGUGAAUAAAAUUUCUUUUUAGUACACAGAAUCCUUGGUUUCCUUUUUCUUUCUUUCAACCCCCCUCCCCAACAAAGGUACCCAUGCUGGUUUUAGUAGUGGGCUAGGACGUAACGGUAGUAGCUUCGAUGUAAGUAACUUUUGUUAAGGCGAGGAAAAUUUAAUUUUCUCCUAUGUAAAAGAGCAGGUUGCAGAGUUCCCUCCCCCUCUAUAGCUGAGGAAAUAAAUGCACAUAAAUAGAAGACAAUCAGGGUGCAAUAUAUUCACGUUAUUCUCCUUUAAUUUCACAGUUCCCUACAUUUUUUUCUCCGAGAACAUUUGGUUGUAAUGUAAAAUGAGCGGAUGUGACUUUGACACCGUGUGCCCUCGCCUUGUAACCCGUGUUCCAGUCAAACCGUGCCGUUGGAGAUCAGUUUUCUCGGGGUCGAAUUUUAUUUUACCAGGCCUGGAAAUUGACAACGUCUGUUCUAAAA
This is a long non-coding RNA of Branchiostoma belcheri (Belcher's lancelet), 833 nucleotides long. RefSeq lists it as uncharacterized. NCBI's taxonomy places the organism in Eukaryota, Metazoa, Chordata, Leptocardii, Amphioxiformes, Branchiostomatidae. The record is from RefSeq and is a predicted model, not a curated record. The transcript has 2 exons.